AAAAUGUCAGUGUUCGGAGUGAGCGACUCCUGGGAAGAUCCCUUCCACCUUUUUACGGCGUCCUCUUCCUGUUUCUCUUCCUCUUCCUCUGCCAGCAGGCGCGUUGCAGUGGAUAUGGAUGUGAGCGUGUGCAUCACUAGGAGAUGCCAGCUCUCGACCACUUUCCCUGGCACCAAGUUACAGACGCUUUUCGAGGUUUUGCAAUCGAUGAUGUACCCUUUAUGAUUUCUGAGAGGUUUGCUCAGAAAGUCGUCAGAGAAACACAGUCAGUCAAUUUAAUGGGCAUUACCAUCAAAUCCCCACCAGAGAUCGAGGAGGAAUUUUCAUACUUCUUCAAUAUUGAGCUCAGUGCUGCUGCUUAUCCCUGAUCGAGGUGAUGAAUCUGACUUCAAACAGUCCGCCAACAGCAAACCAGACAAACCAUCACAGCACCGGAAACGUGACCUGCCUGUGGGUCUUUAGUCCAGAAUGAAUGUGGGUAAAACCUCACGUUCAGAAGGGUUUGGAUAUAAUUAUAAAACAUAUUUAUCGUUUAAAAAAAAAAGACAAAUAUUGUCAAACAUUAGCAGCAGUAUUCUUUAAGAAUAUUCUUUAUUUUAGUUAUACUCUAGUUAAUUAAUCUAAAAGGAAAAAAUGUUAUUUUAAUAAAAAACUGUAUUUGUAGGCUCUAUAAAUCUAG
RNAcentral lists this long non-coding RNA (679 nucleotides) under Astyanax mexicanus (Mexican tetra). RNAcentral describes it as "lncRNA (ENSAMXG00005022268.1)". Lineage: Eukaryota; Metazoa; Chordata; Actinopteri; Characiformes; Acestrorhamphidae. The record is from RNAcentral.